GACAGAGGAGCCAAGCGUUGUCCGGAUUGACUGGGCGUAAAGGGCACGCAGGCGGCGCGGCGCGUGGGGUGUGAAAGCGGGCGGCUUAACUGCCCAAGGUCAUCCCAUACGGCGGCGCUGGAGCCAUCCAGAGGUCGGUGGAAUUCCGGGUGUAGCGGUGAAAUGACGUAGAUAUCCGGAGGAACACCGGUGGCGAAGGCGGCUUCCUGGACCGACACUGACGCUGAGGCGCGAAAGCUAGGGGAGCAAACGGG
RNAcentral lists this ribosomal RNA (254 nucleotides) under uncultured bacterium. RNAcentral's name for it is "partial 16S ribosomal RNA". It matches the Rfam family "Bacterial small subunit ribosomal RNA", at positions 524 to 776 of the family's 1533-position model. The record is from RNAcentral.